CCAGACUCCUACGGGAGGCAGCAGUAGGGAAUUUUGCGCAAUGGGGGAAACCCUGACGCAGCAACGCCGCGUGAUUGAUGAAGCCCUUCGGGGUGUAAAGAUCUGUCAGUGGGGACGAAACUUGACGGUACCCACAGAGGAAGCAUCGGCUAACUACGUGCCAGCAGCCGCGGUAAUACGUAGGGGGCAAGCGUUAUCCGGAUUUACUGGGUGUAAAGGGAGCGUAGACGGAAUUGCAAGUCUGAUGUGAAAAUCCGGGGCCCAACCCCGGAACUGCAUUGGAAACUGUAUUUCUAGAGUGUCGGAGAGGCAAGUGGAAUUCCUGGUGUAGCGGUGAAAUGCGUAGAUAUCAGGAGGAACACCAGUGGCGAAGGCGGCUUGCUGGACGAUGACUGACGUUGAGGCCCGAAGGCGUGGGGAGCAAACAGGAUUAGAUACCCCAGUA
RNAcentral lists this ribosomal RNA (445 nucleotides) under uncultured bacterium. RNAcentral describes it as "bacterial SSU rRNA". It matches the Rfam family "Bacterial small subunit ribosomal RNA", at positions 331 to 792 of the family's 1533-position model. The record is from RNAcentral.